UUGGGAAUUUUCCGCAAUGGGCGAAAGCCUGACGGAGCAAUACCGCGUGAGGGAUGAAGGAUUUUGGUCUGUAAACCUCUUUUCUCAAGAAAGAAGUUCUGACGGUACUUGAGGAAUAAGCAUCGGCUAACUCCGUGCCAGCAGCCGCGGUAAUACGGGGGAUGCAAGCGUUAUCCGGAAUCAUUGGGCGUAAAGCGCCUGUAGGUUGUUUAAUAAGUCUGUUGUUAAAGACUGGGGCUUAACCCCAGGAAAGCAAUGGAAACUACUAGACUAGAGUAUGGUAGGGGUAAAGGGAAUUUCUAGUGUAGCGGUGAAAUGCGUAGAUAUUAGAAAGAACACCGGUGGCGAAAGCGCUUUACUGGACCAUUACUGACACUCAGAGGCGAAAGCUAGGGUAGCCAAAGGGAUUAGAUACCCCUGUAGUCA
Molecule: ribosomal RNA, 426 nt
Filed under: uncultured cyanobacterium
Lineage: Bacteria; Bacillati; Cyanobacteriota
Description: bacterial SSU rRNA
Rfam family: Bacterial small subunit ribosomal RNA
Source: RNAcentral